CCUACGGGCGGCAGCAGUGGGGGAUAUUGCACAAUGGGGGGAACCCUGAUGCAGCGACGCCACGUGGGUGAAGAAGCGCCUCGGCGCGUAAAGCCCUGUCAGCAGGGAAGAAAAUGACGGUACCUGAAGAAGAAGCCCCGGCUAACUACGUGCCAGCAGCCGCGGUAAUACGUAGGGGGCAAGCGUUAUCCGGAUUUACUGGGUGGAAAGGGGGCGCAGACGGCGAUGCAAGCCAGGAGUGAAAGCCCGGGGCCCAACCCCGGGACUGCUCUUGGAACUGCGUGGCUGGAGUGCAGGAGGGGCAGGCGGAAUUCCUGGUGUAGGGGUGAAAUGCGUAGAUAUCAGGAGGAACACCGGUGGCGAAGGCGGCCUGCUGGACUGCAACUGACGUUGAGGCCCGAAAGCGUGGGGAGCAAACAGGAUUAGAUACCCCAGUAGUC
RNAcentral lists this ribosomal RNA (440 nucleotides) under uncultured bacterium. RNAcentral describes it as "partial 16S ribosomal RNA". It matches the Rfam family "Bacterial small subunit ribosomal RNA", at positions 338 to 795 of the family's 1533-position model. The record is from RNAcentral.